UACGAAGGGUGCAAGCGUUACUCGGCAUUACUGGGCGUAAAGCGUGCGUAGGUGGUUGUUUAAGUCUGUCGUGAAAGCCCUGGGCUCAACCUGGGAAUUGCGUUGGAUACUGGCAGGCUAGAGUGUGGCAGAGGGUAGUGGAAUUCCUGGUGUAGCAGUGAAAUGCGUAGAGAUCAGGAGGAACAUCCGUGGCGAAGGCGACUGCCUGGGCCAACACUGACACUGAGGCACGAAAGCGUGGGGAGCAAACAGGAUUAGAUACCCUGGUAGUCCACGCCCUAAACGAUGCGAACUGGAUGUUGGGUGCAAUUUGGCACGCAGUAUCGAAGCUAACGCGUUAAGUUCGCCGCCUGGGGAGUACGGUCGCAAGACUGAA
Molecule: ribosomal RNA, 376 nt
Filed under: uncultured bacterium
Lineage: Bacteria
Description: bacterial SSU rRNA
Rfam family: Bacterial small subunit ribosomal RNA
Source: RNAcentral